This 59-nucleotide microRNA precursor is filed under the name Daphnia magna. RNAcentral describes it as "Dma-Mir-12604_pre stem-loop". Lineage: Eukaryota; Metazoa; Arthropoda; Branchiopoda; Diplostraca; Daphniidae. The record is from RNAcentral.
CCAGUUUAACAUAGCCCACAGAUUAUGUACAUUUCUCUGGGUUAUGAUUAAGACUGGGC